This 631-nucleotide long non-coding RNA is filed under the name Athene cunicularia (burrowing owl). Its description in RNAcentral is "lncRNA (ENSACUG00000003535.1)". Lineage: Eukaryota; Metazoa; Chordata; Aves; Strigiformes; Strigidae. The record is from RNAcentral.
UUUGUUGCAAAAUCUUAUUUACAUAGGGAAAAAAAAAGAACUAGCAGACAAACUAUGCCCUGUCUGUCUUAUGUUUGCAGAUUGUGGAGGUGAGUUGAGAAGGAUGCUCAUGGAAAGGGGUCUGGAGGCAGCUGAAAUCAACAGGCAGCUCCAAGGGUAUUUUCAGCCUCAGGAAUACACCAGAAGGGAUGGUGAAAGCCAGGAAGAAAUGCUUAACAAAACUCAGAGCGUGACCACAUUGGUGACUUCGGUGAAACCCUUCGUGGAGACACUUUCACUUAUUGCAGCAGCUCCCCGGGCACGGCAGAUAACGGGUUCCUCUCAGCACAAGCGCCGAGAAGUCCACAGUCAAUUACCAGCCCCUUGCCUGCAGCCAAUGGACGAGGGAUCCUGCCGGCACUACGCCCUGCUCUGGUAUUACCAUGCAGAGGCCGACGCCUGCCGGCCCUUUGUCUUCGGGGGAUGCCGAGGGAACAGCAACCGCUUCGAAACCAAGUGGAAAUGUGAGCAGCGGUGCAAAACCUCAGCAGAUGUUUCCUUCCAACCGGAGAUAUGACGCCCAUGUAACAGCAGGCACAUACCACGUGUACAGGCGCUGCUUUCUCCUAAUAAAAUCACCGUGAAGACUCCA